AAACAGAUUCCAGAGAUGAGAGACAGGAAUCAGAUGUUAUCCUCAAAGCAUGACCCAUAACAAACCUGCCGUUGGACAGAAGAUAGAGAUCAAGAAGAUUAGCUGAGAGGUGAGAUAUAGAAGAUUCAGAUAUAUGGGUCAGGCGGGUUUUGUGGUGUGAACCCUAGAUUUAUCAGAGACGCUCAUAAAAGCCCUAGAUUUAUCCAAAUUUCUCAAACCAAAACCUUGAAUUCCAUGCUUGAAACUCGUGAAACAAACUGAAUUAAAGCUCCUUAACGAUUCUGAAGCUUCAAAAAUGGCGAGAUUUUGAGGAGAAAUGGAAGGGAAAAGGAGAGAGGAACUCAUCUGCAUAAAACCAACAUCGCAGAGCGAGAA
This 375-nucleotide long non-coding RNA is filed under the name Panax ginseng (ginseng). Its description in RNAcentral is "long non-coding RNA (PGIN_LNC012107)". Lineage: Eukaryota; Viridiplantae; Streptophyta; Magnoliopsida; Apiales; Araliaceae. The record is from RNAcentral.